AUCAAUUUUGGUUUGUGGAUAAAAUGGCUUAAUAUUUGCUUCCACAUAACUCUUAGCAUAGCCUAUGUCCAAUAAUUUGGGAAUUUCACCAUUUGGGACAGUAACAGUAACUGAAAUUCCUGUGUUGGCAAAAGCUCUUAAGAUAUCUGGAUUAACGUCGAAAAUCUUGAUUUUGUCGAUUAUGGUUUUGUCUUUGAGAAAUUGAGCAACUUGAGAUGGUGGAGGUAGGUUGUUGCCAAGGGUGCCAUAGUUAACACCUAUGGACAGUAACUGAGAUUCUUAGCAAACGCUCUUAAGAUAUCUGGAUUAACGUCGAAAAUCUGGAUUUUGUCGAUUAUGGUUUUGUCUUUGAGAAAUUGAGCAACUUGAGAUGGUGGAGGUAGGUUGUUGCCAAGGGUGCCAUAGUUAACACCUAUGGAGGAAACAUAAGGAAAACACUGAAUAAAGAUAGCUGAAAUGAAC
This 462-nucleotide long non-coding RNA is filed under the name Nicotiana benthamiana. RNAcentral describes it as "long non-coding RNA (NBEN_LNC038385)". The record is from RNAcentral. Lineage: Eukaryota; Viridiplantae; Streptophyta; Magnoliopsida; Solanales; Solanaceae.